Molecule: long non-coding RNA, 827 nt
Organism: Cucurbita moschata (crookneck pumpkin)
Lineage: Eukaryota; Viridiplantae; Streptophyta; Magnoliopsida; Cucurbitales; Cucurbitaceae
Exons: 2
Source: RefSeq, a predicted model, not a curated record
GAGGGAGAAGAAAUGGAGGGAAAAUCUCACUCAGUAGAAAAUGGCUGAAACUGGAAGAACAGUUUGGAGUUUUCAGAUUGCAGAGUACAGAUGAGAUCAUAAACUGCUGAGAUUCAGUCUUUUACACUGAUGAUUGACGAUGGAGGACCAUCGCCAGGUAUUUCUCAUCUCUCGCAAUUUGAACUUACUGAUGGGAAUUUAAUCAAACAGUUCGUGAACUCUUGUUUAUCUCUUGUUACUUGCUUGAAACACGGAUUGACUGAUGAAAAUUUGAGUGCACUACACUUCACCAUAGUCAAUCUCAUAUUGUGUUCAUUAUAAUAAAAAAACAAACUCUGGAUCCAUGUGAAAAGAAAUGAUAUCCCAAAUUCUAUAUUACUAGCGUGUCAAUACAUAGAAUAGGAACAUUCUUGUGUUUGCUGGACGUGGAAAGGGAAAGCCGAAAGGCAAGGAGUUGCAACUACAAGCUUACAAAGAGUCAAUAAACAAUGGAGUUAAGUGGGAUAGGCCAUUUACCUUUACAACGAGCCCCACUUGUGUUUCUGUCUAAAUGACUGUCCCCAUUGUAGUUUGAAGCUGUUAAUGCUUUCAGCAUACGUGUGCCUAUGUUCUUUUGACUAAAAAAUUGGAUUGCCAAGGCAUAAUUGCUCUAUAUAGUUUUUUGAUGGAAAGCGAAAUUCAACCCACAACAUGAUUCCGGAGAAAGACUUUUGCAUUCAUCUCCAUAGUCUUACAACCAAAGACAUUCAUCAUCCUUAACCCGUCGUGUGUUACAAACCAAACCCCACCAGUUUUCUGAUAUUGAAAACUUAAAAAAAGAGCAAAAA